RNAcentral lists this ribosomal RNA (285 nucleotides) under uncultured bacterium. Its description in RNAcentral is "partial 16S ribosomal RNA". It matches the Rfam family "Bacterial small subunit ribosomal RNA", at positions 335 to 603 of the family's 1533-position model. The record is from RNAcentral.
ACUCCUACGGGAGGCAGCAGUGGGAAUAUUGCACAAUGGGAAGCCCAUCGAUGCAGCCAUGCCCGCGCUGUGUGAAGAAGGCCAAUUCGGGCUUUGGUUAAAGACACUUUUCAGUAGGGAGGAAGGUAGUGUAGUUAACACCUGCAUUAUUUGACGUUACCUACAGAAGAAGCACCGGCUAACUCCGUGCCAGCAGCCGCGGUAAUACGGAGGGUGCGAGCGUUAAUCGGAAUUACUGGGCGUAAAGCGCAUGCAGGCGGCCUGUUAAGUCAGAUGUGAAAGCCC